This 442-nucleotide ribosomal RNA is filed under the name uncultured bacterium. RNAcentral describes it as "partial 16S ribosomal RNA". It matches the Rfam family "Bacterial small subunit ribosomal RNA", at positions 338 to 795 of the family's 1533-position model. The record is from RNAcentral.
CCUACGGGAGGCUGCAGUAGGGAAUCUUUCACAAUGGGCGAAAGCCUGAUGGAGCAACGCCGCGUGCAGGAUGAAGGCCUUCGGGUUGUAAACUGCUUUUAUAAGCGAGAAAUAUGAUGGUAACUUAUGAAUAAGGAUCGACUAACUACGUGCCAGCAGCCGCGGUCAUACGUAGGAUCCGAGCAUUAUCCGGAGUGACUGGGUGUAAAGAGUUGCGUAGGUGGGAUAAUAAGUAGCUAGUGAAAUCUGGUGGCUCAACCAUUCAGUCUAUUAGCUAAACUGUUAAGCUCGAGACCGUUAGGGGUAACUGGAAUUUCUAGUGUAGGAGUGAAAUCCGUAGAUAUUAGAAGGAACACCAAUAGCGUAGGCAGGUUGCUGGGACGGUUCUGACACUAAGGCACGAAAGCGUAGGGAGCAAACGGGAUUAGAUACCCUUGUAGUC